Molecule: long non-coding RNA, 408 nt
Filed under: Struthio camelus australis
Lineage: Eukaryota; Metazoa; Chordata; Aves; Struthioniformes; Struthionidae
Description: lncRNA (ENSSCUG00000016923.1)
Source: RNAcentral
AUGUCAGAUCACACCUACCAUAUUGGCUUCCUGUCCCCAGAACAUCAGGUUUUUGCAGCUCAUGUGUGUGGGGGGUGUCUCCUCCCGACAAUCCCCACCCCCAGCAGCAUCAGGUCCGUGCUGUUCGGGGUUUUGUUAAGCCGUUUAGUAUUAAUUGAUUUUUUUUUCCAUUUUUUCUUUCUUUCCCUGGGCGGGUCAAUAGCUGGAUGCUCAAGAGCAGAGGAUCUAUCAACUGCAGACCAAGCGGAGGGAGAGACAGGCAGACCUGGAGCAGAAAUGCAGCCGGAUCCAGCAGCUCAGCCAGGACCUGGAGGCCAGCCACCAGCCGCAGGAGGAAGCUCAGAAGCAGGACUGACGUGGCCAGGAUGGAUUUUCCUAGAACAACACUCUGAACGCAAAGUGCAGUAG